RNAcentral lists this unclassified non-coding RNA (3180 nucleotides) under Daphnia magna. RNAcentral's name for it is "uncharacterized LOC116926709, transcript variant X1". The record is from RNAcentral. Lineage: Eukaryota; Metazoa; Arthropoda; Branchiopoda; Diplostraca; Daphniidae.
GUCAAGUCAAGUUGGCAACGUUGCUUUUAGUGUCAAUAAUAAAUACAAACUAAAAUUGCUUCCGUGGCGGCUCCAGAAAAACAAUAUAAUUGGACUUCGCAAACUUCUUUCCAACCUGUGGUGCGGCCUCAACAUUCCAAUUUUAUCAUGAAGGUAGAUGAAAGUGAAGCCUAUCAGAGCAUCAAAACUUCAAUUGAAGCCCACCGAACAGAUGUUUUGAAAGCAGUAAUCGACACAGUAAAAAAAGAAUGGGAGGAGAAAGAUUUCUUUAAAUUUUUAAACAACUCAAGAGAAGAAGGGUCAUUUCUGCAUUUGGUUACCAAGAACAAUCAAGCAGAUAUGGUUAGACUUUUACUGAGUUAUGGAGCAGAUCCUACAGUUGUCAAUGGAAAGGGAGAAAAUGCUUUAGCUGUCACCUCCAACAAGCACACAAAGUCUGCGUACAAAGAUGCAUUGUUUGCAUCUAUUGCCAGCCAUGAUAUGCGAAUGACAGAAAAGCUAUACAUGGCAGCUACAGAAACAGAUAUAAGGGACAAUUUGGAAAAACUUAACACUCCGUUACAUUGGGCAGUUUCAUUUCUUAAUAAAGAAGCAAUACACUUUCUAACAGAACAAGGAGCUAUACUGGACAGUAUAAAUGCAAAAGGAAUGACUCCAUUGCACGAAGCUGUUCAAGCAGGGAACUAUGAUAUUGUUAAUCUACUCAUAAAAAUGGGCGCAGAUGUUAACUGUCUUGUUCAAGGGAAUAGCAAUUUGAAAGGCAUGUCAGCCAUAGAUUUGGCCAUUCCUGGUUCAGAGAUGAUGAACCUUCUUAUGCGUUACCGUAAUGCUAACGACGGGUUAGGCCCACCUAGAGAACUAGUAGAGAUGAAUGGCAAUGUCAACGGUAAUGCUCAACACAGAGAUGGUCGAAUGGGGCCUGCUUCACCCGACGGAGCUGAAAGUGCACUUAGUGUCGAGGAGAUCACGACUUCUUUGCCAUUUAUACGUGCACCGAUACGUCCAGUAAUCACAGACGCCCGUUUACAUUGGCUAUGGCCUCCACCGAAGCAAAUUCAACAACUGGAAGGACUACCGUUCUUAAUUCAUCAGCCAUGGAGCAUAUCAUUCGUCUCUUGCUCUAUUCCAUUACAUGACAUACUGGAUAUCUGGGAUGCGCACAAGGCCCCGCUUUCUUUGCUAGGAAUAAAUCCUAUUAUCGGCAACGUGAAGCCCAAUAACACAACCACGACGGAUGACAACGACAGCAGAUUAACCUGCUGUAUCAAAGCGCAACUCUUUCCUGGCCCUGAAAGUUACCGAUUAACUAUAUCAUCUUCUAAAAUAGCCAUAAUCGCCGCCGAUCGGCAAGGACUACAUUAUGCCUUGAGUAGUCUCGAGCAGCUUAUAGUAUUAUGUCUUGACGAUGGUCAUUUACCACCACUGCACAUCGAGGAUAGUCCUUCCCUACGAAUGCGUGCCGUUGUGCUUGACGUGAGUUCUGCUGGUCGUGUCCCACUUCUCGAUUCUCUGUUUUCCAUGAUUGAUAUCUGGCGCUCCUUGAAACUCAAUCAAGUUCACCUCUACAGCCGAGUUAAUAGCUCAGCAGGGUUUCAAUGGCCAUGGCCCUAUAGUAAAAUUGAGGUGAUAAGUCUGGAUCGCUAUUGCAUGGACCGAGGGAUGGAACUUGUACCGGCGCUUGAUGUAGAUGGUGAUUUUAAAGAACAACACUUACUACAAGAUUUGGUGACCACAUCUCAGUGGUGUUUCCCAUCCACCAAACUUUUUCACGCCGGCCCCGGCUUGACAACUCUACUUGCUGAAGCCAAUUAUGAACUAUUGAAUGGAAAUGCGUCAGAUAGAACAUGGCUUUUGUGUGCCAAUAGCUUGAGGGAGAAGAAAAUACUGCCAAACUUGAACUUCGGGCAUAUUCUGGUUGAGUAUGGAUUUCAGGCAGACUACAAUUUCCACGAAAAAACUCAAUCGGCGUGGGAAAGUUCGGCUGCUUUGUGCUUCUGCGCUGGAACUGCCUCUUGGGACAGUUUAAUAGGAUACCCCGAAGCUGCCUCAGCCAACAUUCUUCAUGCUGUGCAAGCUGCUGUGGAAAGAGGAUCGUUAGGAUCAUUUGUAGCUACAUGGACUGAUUCGGUGGCUUUAGGAUCGCUACAUUUUGCCUGGCCGGGAUGGAUUUUGCAGGCUGGAUUAGCCUGGAAUCAUUCCGUUCAUUGGGAUUUUAUUCAAAAUUCACUGGGUGAGCUCGUUUCGCUUUGGGUGUUGAACGAAUCAUUCGACAAGCGUUCUUCAGUGGGUGUAGCCAUCGUUGAGAUGGGCCGGCUGGAAACUUGGCUUCUUCGUCACGCUCGCGGAGAGCUUGACCUUCAUAAUGCAUUCGAUGCUACUACGAUUCCACCCUCUCUGCCCCCAAGCGAAGGGUCUAUUCAUUACCGCUUAAUUUUAGAUCCCGAUAGUGUUAACGUAGACAACCUCAAUAUGGAAUGUGUCGUGCGAACCAUCCGGCAUUCGAAAAAAUGGCAUAAACUAUUAACUGAAGCAACCAUGACAGAAAGCCGUAAUUAUUUCAUGAAAACAGUUGCGCUUCAAGCUCUCCUAUCUGCAGAUUUCCUCCUCCUGGCCUGUCGCAUUUUGAGGGGAAUUCUUACAACUGGGAGCAAUCCAAAUAGCAAUAUGGGAGUAGCCGCAAUCAACCUAGGUGUAGUGAACUUAACGCCAACUUUACGAACAGACGCUGCCAACAGACUGCUCAGCCUAACCGAGCGUUUCCAGCAGUUGUGGAUGCAACAAUAUCAAAAUCCCUCGAAUGGACUGAAUAAUAUAAUAGGAGCCCUGAAUGCAUCGAUUCAACGGCUUUUGGCUAAUGUCGACACAUCCGAUUUGUAGGCGUCGAUUGGUUUGAGUCGUUUUGUUGAUUUGGCUUUUGCGUAGAAAGUCGAUGGGUCAGCGAUGAUGCGCUGUCAAUUCGGAUACAAUUUGUAAGCAACAACACAAAAGAAGGCAAAAAGGUUUAAACAUUCCUUCAACCUGUUUUCGGCACAUUCUGUCCUGGGAUUUGUUUCGAGCGGAACAGUAUUAUAUUGUCAAACAUUAAUCUUGCUUUUUAUGCAUGAGAUAUCUUUUUAGCAAUCCAUGUUAUUUGUUACAAACAUAGCCAGCAGAAAAAUAUUAUGGACACGGUUAACUUAA